UUGUCCAAGUUCUGAACCAAAACAAAACCUGGAAUUUGCACCUUUUAUUUGUUCAACGGUAAUGUAAGGGUUUCUCUUUAAGUCCCCCCCAUACAUAUUAUAUAUUGUUUUUUAAUAGUCAGAAAUGGCUCUCUCUUAAUAUCAUAUAUGUAUUCUUAACACAACAUUAAGUGUAAAUAAAAUGUUAGUAAUGGGAAAAACACAUCUAGUAGAACUAAAUAAAAAUAACUCAAAAUAAACUCACAUAUCAGACCUGAUUGUUAAAUACCUCAUAUGUCCAGGACCUAAAUGAUUAAGUAGUAAACGCUAACCCUAUAACAACCCCCUUCUAACAGUAUGCCAAGCCUGCCCUAAUGCUUACACUAACUAUAUCUUCCGUAACUCUACACUAUUCCUAAUCCUAAAACAGAUUUCAUUCUAACACUAACUCUACCCCUAACCUUAACCCUUAGGAAACCCUCUGCUAAAAUCAGUACUGUUUUCAGCGGAUGAGUUUCCUAGCUAAAACAGUAGAGAGCAGUAUAUAGCCAUCAUCUACCUGCAGUUUUCAGCAUUAAUCAUAUCCCUGUAAUGCCAUUUGUGAUCGGUGCUGAACAGCUGGCAAAGCCCAGCAUCAAAUACAAUAAGCAUGAGGCCAUAGUGGGAGACCCUGUGCAGACCCAGGGUUAACCCUUGAGCACCUGCCAGCCCAGAAUCAGCAUGGCUGAGAGCGAGCUGUUCAGCCUCAGUGUUCUCAAAGGCUUUAAAGAGCUACUGCUCUUCGGUCAGCUUGGGGCCACUAACAGACAUUCUGACAGAGGGGAGCCCAAGGUAUAGAUUGUUACUGGGGUAUCCCUGGUGUGAACAGGGUUUUAAUCCAGCUCACACAACAUUGCUGCAAUAGGUAUUUAAAUGCCUUUUUAAAUGGCGACAGUAGCAAUCUGUUUUAGCACUGUAUACAGUGCAUCUUUCAGUCUGGGGCUCCUAGUGUGAACUGGGAUUUAACCCCAAUCACAUCGCAAUGCAGUCAAUGAGGAUUUAAAUAUCAAUUUAAGCGCUUCAGACUUCUUUUGGAUCAACAGCAAAAACAUAUGUAAGGAAGGCUGAACUUGAUGGACAUAAGUCUCUUUUCAGCUAUGUAACUAUGUAAUUUAAAGUACUGUAUAUAGUGCUCACUUUAACCUCUGCUGACAGAGGGGAGCAGGGAUUUAACCCUACACACACCAAAACAAUAGGACGUGUGAAUACGUCCUAACCACAUUAACGCCCUGUAUAUUUAGGAUGUAAUUAUUUGUCCUAACUUUGUUAAGUGGUUAAAGAGAAACCCUUGAAUUACAGUGGGAUAAACACAGAGCACAAAUUCUAGCUUUUAUUUCAGAAGUUGGAUAUUGCCUCCAUCCUUAAGGGGUUAAAUCUUUAUUAGUGAUAUAUUGACCUUGUCAACACCAACAUAUACAUGAUUACUCACACAUAUAUAAGUAGCCACUUACAGAAUUCUAAUUGGCCAUGCUCAAAGACACCCAGAACUAAGCAUGCCUAAUUAGCCAAACAGGCAUAACUAGCCAUUCACAUGCACACAAAAUAUGCUACAUGCACCAACCUUAUUAGUAACACACUCAUACAGCUAACACUCACACACAUUUGUAUACAAACUUAUUUUAUUAACUCUCUGUUCAUCCCUUGAAACACCUCUGCGCCCUGUUGUCCUCACUUCCUGUUGACCCUUUGGGGGAAGCAGGAGAGAUGUGCACCUAGCGGCAGAGCUUUACCUACUACUCCCCUUCAUCACUUUUCUCACUAACAGGCACAGGGUGUUGGGAUAACACCUCAUAUCCCAGAACCAUCUACCUGUCCCAGUGUUACGCUGAAGAGGUUGCUGACUGUUACGCUGCAAAUUGGGAAGACAGCAAUUAAAAUCCUGCCCAACAUCCUGAGUUGCAUUAUGGAAACUACUCAUCCUCCAUGCCCACACUGUCAUGUGGCCCUCAAAGUGAAUAGCCCAGUGCAGUUGCCUGCUUACCUUUCCCAAAGUAUGGGCCUUUUAUUAUGGAUUCCACUUAAAUUACAGAACAUCUUAUAACUGUCUAGAAUGAAGGUCUAGAAUUAGAAUGUUGAGAUGAUUCUUCACAACCCUGUGCUUUUAAACUUGCAAAACAGGAUCUAUGUUGUAGAUGAAGAUUAGAAAAAUGUAUUAAAAGCAUUAUCCACACCUUACGCAUCAACUUAUUACAUGUGUGAAGAUCUAUAAAAGGCACCCAUGACGUAGUAUGUAUACAAACAUACGUUGUACUUGAAAAAUGUUUAAUUACUCUAUAAAAACUGUUUGGCAGAGCAACACUGUACUGUAUUUUGCUUUUUUUUAGUUAAUGGAUUCAAAUAAAUUCAAG
RNAcentral lists this long non-coding RNA (2366 nucleotides) under Pelobates cultripes (western spadefoot toad). Lineage: Eukaryota; Metazoa; Chordata; Amphibia; Anura; Pelobatidae. The record is from RNAcentral.